AUACGUAGGGUGCGAGCGUUGUCCGGAAUUACUGGGCGUAAAGAGCUCGUAGGUGGUUUGUCGCGUCGUCUGUGAAAUUCCGGGGCUUAACUCCGGGCGUGCAGGCGAUACGGGCAUAACUUGAGUACUGUAGGGGAGACUGGAAUUCCUGGUGUAGCGGUGAAAUGCGCAGAUAUCAGGAGGAACACCGGGGGAGAAGGGGGGUCCCUGGGCAAUAACUGCCGCUGAGGUGCGAAAGCAUGGGGAGCGAACAGGUUUUGAUCCCCUGGUGGUCCAUGCCGUAAACGGUGGGCGAUGGGUGGAGGGGUCUUCUACGACUUGUGUGCCGUAGCUAACGCGUUAAGCGCCCCGCCUGGGGAGUACGGCCGCAAGGCUAAAACUCAAAGGAAUUGACGGGG
RNAcentral lists this ribosomal RNA (398 nucleotides) under uncultured bacterium. Its description in RNAcentral is "partial 16S ribosomal RNA". It matches the Rfam family "Bacterial small subunit ribosomal RNA", at positions 523 to 918 of the family's 1533-position model. The record is from RNAcentral.